Molecule: ribosomal RNA, 253 nt
Filed under: uncultured Dehalobacterium sp.
Lineage: Bacteria; Bacillati; Bacillota; Clostridia; Eubacteriales; Peptococcaceae
Description: partial 16S ribosomal RNA
Rfam family: Bacterial small subunit ribosomal RNA
Source: RNAcentral
UACGGAGGAUGCGAGCGUUAUCCGGAUUUAUUGGGUUUAAAGGGCGCGUAGGCGGGAACUUAAGUUAGAUGUGAAAACUCCGGGCUUAACCUGGAGACUGCAUUUAAAACUGGGUUUCUUGAGGGCAGGAGAGGAAAGUGGAAUUCCUAGUGUAGCGGUGAAAUGCGUAGAUAUUAGGAGGAACACCAGUGGCGAAGGCGACUUUCUGGACUGUACCUGACGCUGAGGCGCGAAAGCAUGGGGAGCGAACAGG